This 483-nucleotide ribosomal RNA is filed under the name uncultured bacterium. RNAcentral's name for it is "partial 16S ribosomal RNA". It matches the Rfam family "Bacterial small subunit ribosomal RNA", at positions 30 to 506 of the family's 1533-position model. The record is from RNAcentral.
AUUGAACGCUAGCGGGAUGCUUUACACAUGCAAGUCGAACGGCAGCGCGGACUUCGGUCUGGCGGCGAGUGGCGAACGGGUGAGUAAUGUAUCGGAACGUGCCCAGUAGCGGGGGAUAACUACGCGAAAGCGUAGCUAAUACCGCAUACGCCCUACGGGGGAAAGCAGGGGAUCGUAAGACCUUGCACUAUUGGAGCGGCCGAUAUCGGAUUAGCUAGUUGGUGAGGUAACGGCUCACCAAGGCGACGAUCCGUAGCUGGUUUGAGAGGACGACCAGCCACACUGGGACUGAGACACGGCCCAGACUCCUACGGGAGGCAGCAGUGGGGAAUUUUGGACAAUGGGGGCAACCCUGAUCCAGCCAUCCCGCGUGUGCGAUGAAGGCCUGCGGGUUGUAAAGCACUUUUGGCAGGAAAGAAACGUCGCGGGCUAAUACCCCGUGGAACUGACGGUACCUGCAGAAUAAGCACCGGCUAACUACGU